CUCGUAAUCCUUUGGACGAUGGAGAAUGGAGCUCAAAAUCUAGAAAGCGUUUCGAGACAUUUGAGAAAGAGUUGGUGAUGACAUCAGAUCAAGCAUCUAUGAAGAAUCAGCAGUUACCUAAAGGAUAUUUUUAUAUUCCUGUUGAUUGCCUUCCCAAGGAGAAGCAGAUGAACCAGGACGCACGAUCUGGUGAGCUAUUAGAACACCACAGGUAGAUGGAGGCAAAUUUUGGGUUUCUGAUUUGAGCACAGGAUAUCGACAGCCCUCUGCUGCAGACAACUGCCUUCUGCCAUGGAGCUAUGAAAUAUAUCCGUUAUUUGAUUUGUGAAGGGGUGAGAUUGGCAGAAUGAUGCUGAGAUGGUGUUUUGGAUGAUGUAUCAUCCCCUUUGAAUUGAACCAACAUUCUGGACAAGGCAGUGAGUUCUUAGCAUCAUUGUUGUUUGUUCAUUGUGAGAGCAAUUGUGCAGUGGGUG
RNAcentral lists this unclassified non-coding RNA (473 nucleotides) under Hevea brasiliensis (rubber tree). Lineage: Eukaryota; Viridiplantae; Streptophyta; Magnoliopsida; Malpighiales; Euphorbiaceae. The record is from RNAcentral.